UUUCCGUAGGUGAACCUGCGGAAGGAUCAUUAAAGAGAUCAUGCCCUCUCGGGUAGACCUCCCACCCUUUGUUUACAAUACCUUUGUUGCUUUGGCGGGCCCGUUUGGCCCCGCGCUGAACAACCGGCCCCGGCUGGUCAGUGCCCGCCAGAGAACCGAAAACUCUGAAUUAAAUGUCGUCUGAGUACUAUGUAAUAGUUAAAACUUUCAACAACGGAUCUCUUGGUUCUG
This 231-nucleotide unclassified non-coding RNA is filed under the name plant metagenome. RNAcentral describes it as "partial contains small subunit ribosomal RNA, internal transcribed spacer 1, and 5.8S ribosomal RNA". The record is from RNAcentral.